Molecule: RNA transcript, 3747 nt
Organism: Oreochromis niloticus (Nile tilapia)
Lineage: Eukaryota; Metazoa; Chordata; Actinopteri; Cichliformes; Cichlidae
Gene: nod1
Gene name: nucleotide-binding oligomerization domain containing 1
Exons: 13
Source: RefSeq, a predicted model, not a curated record
AAAGGACGCACCCAUUCACAGCGCUUUGACUUCCUGCAUCUGUGGCUACAGCUGAUGCUUUCUAAGGGGCGGCACAUGCACUUCACUAACUGUAGCCUAAUGGGCUGUCGUGCAUUUUAACCGAAGUUAGUUCCUUUUAGUUUUCUUUUCUAACCCGGCUGUAACUUUGGUGUGGACCCAGCACAAUGAGGUGACUGCUGUCCUGUAAAUAUGGAUCAGAUAAAAGAAGCCAGGGUGCCGUGCUCCAGCCUCCUCACCUACCACAGAGAGCUGCUCGUGACCAGGCUGAGGAGCAUUCAGUGCAUCCUGGACAACCUGUUCACCUGUGGCUUCUUCUGUCAGGAGGAUGUUGAGAUUGUUCAGCAAACUGCCACCAAGGCUGAUCAGGUGCGCAAAAUCCUGGAGCUAGUCCAGUGCAAAGGGGAGGAGGCCUGUGAAUAUUUAAUCUUCAUAAUUUAUAAAGUAUGUGAUGCAUACAUAGACCUGCAGCCAUGGCUGAAAGAAAUCAACUACAACCCAAGUGAAGAUGUAACAGUGAUGAAGGUGGUUAACACUGAUCCAAUCAGCAGAUACUGUGAGAAGCUGAGACAUGACAUGAGCCGGGACACCAGCUUCAUCAUGUCCUAUGGCCAGCAAGAGGAGACGCGGCUGGAGGACCUCUACACUGACACUGUGAUGGAACUGUUAAAUGACUGCAACGAAAGCUUGGGCUUCUUAGAGAGUGUGGACCAGCUCCUGGGAGAUCACGCAGUUUUCAACCCCCAAGGUGAAAUCACCUACAUAAUGGGGGAUGCUGGUGUGGGAAAAUCCAUCCUUCUGCAGAAGCUCCAGAACCUCUGGUCCACAAAAGAGUUGCAGACGGAUGCCAUCUUCUUCUUUAAGUUUCGCUGUAGGAUGUUCAGCACCUUCAAGGACGCAGAACAGAUCUCUCUCAGAGACCUUUUGUUCAAACACAACUGCUACCCAGAUCACGAUCCAGACAAUGAAGUGUUUGAUUACAUCCUGCGCUUCCCUGAGAAAGUCGUUUUUACCUUUGACGGCUACGAUGAGAUUCAGGAGGACGUGGACCUGAUGAACCUGCCUGAGGUGGUUUCACCGGAGGAUAAGGCCAACCCGCUGCAGCUGCUUAUCAGCUUGCUCUGUGGGAAAUUACUCAAGGGCUCUCAAAAAGUGCUGACGGCCCGGACAGGGAUUGAGAUCCAAAGCAAGGUGAUCAGAAAGAAGGUGGCUCUGCGUGGGUUCUCCCCAGAUCACCUGAAGACUUACACUGACUUGCACUUUAAGGAGCAGGAGCACAGAGAGCUGGUAUCCAUUCAGCUGGAUGCCAGCCCCCACCUCUGGGGACUGUGCUCCACCCCGCUGUUCUGCUGGAUUGUAUUUAAGAGCUUUGGACACCUGCACACAAUGCACGACAGCUUUCAUCUGCCCGAAACCUGCAUCACGCUCACCGAUAUCUUCCUCCUGCUGUCCGAAGUGUUCCUCAGUCGCUCCGCUACACCUGCUCCGUCUUUGCUAAAGAAAAGCACCCGCUGCACCUCGGAGACGUUCAAAGCAGGGCUCAGGCCUCUUGUUGCGUUUGCCAAGUUGGCGCUGCAGGGUAUGGAGAGAGGUAGCUUCAUUUCCAGCCAAGAGGAGAUCAGUGAGUGCGGUGUGACAGAGGAAGAUCUGACUCUCGGCUUUCUCAGACCUCUUAGUGAGGAGGAUACCAGCGGGAGCUCCGCUACCUUUGAGUUCCUCCACAUGACCCUUCAGUCUUUCCUGGCAGCUUUUGCUCUGGUGUUGGAUGAGCAGGCUGCUGCCAGCUCCAUCCUCAAGUUCUUCACAGAGUGCAGCAGGAGAAGGAAGGUGUCUUGUCUGCCUCUUGAUUCCUGCAUAAGUAGCUCUUCAAAGCCCAGCGAAAAGAAGCCGUUUGCAAGCAACGAACACCUGCAGUUCACUAAUCUGUUCCUGUGCGGCCUGCUGUCCAAGAGUCAAAGAAGCUUGAUGGGACAUCUGGUGUCUCCCGUCUUACUGAAGAAGAAACGAGCCCUGCUGAAGUCGUACCUUUCCACUAGUGUCAAGUUCCACCUGCGUGGCUUACCCCACUACGACGGCCAAGAAGGCAAGAAAGUUCAUGUCUUGCCCAACUUCCUGUGGAUGCUGAGGUGCAUAUUCGAGACGGGAAGCAAAGACAUUGCUGAGAUGACGGCGAAAGGCAUCACGGCCGGCUUCAUCAAGCUGGGCUACUGUAACGUGUACUCGGGUGACUGCACCGCCCUGAACUUUGUGCUGCAGCACCGUCAGAAACUCCUGGGGCUCGACAUGGAUAACAACAACAUCAGCGACUAUGGGGUGAAGCAGCUCAAGCCUUCCUUUUGCAAGAUGACAGUAGUGAGACUGUGUGUGAAUCACCUGUCCGACCGCAGCAUUGAGAUUCUUGCAGAGGAGCUGUGCAAACACAAAGUUGUGGAGGUUUUGGGGCUUUACAACAAUAACAUCACAGAUGCUGGAGCCAGGCUUGUUGCUCAGAUCAUUGAAGAAUGUCCCAAACUGCGAGUUCUCAAGAUUGGUAAAAACAAGAUCACCAGUGUUGGUGGGAGGCAUCUGGCCAACGCCAUAAAGAAGAGCUCGUCAAUAUUUGACGUGGGGAUGUGGGGGAACAGUAUUGGCGAUGAGGGAGCAGAAGCAUUUGGAGAAGCUUUGAGGAACCACCCGAGCCUUACCAACCUCAGUCUGUCGGCCAAUUGCAUUACAUCCAGAGGUGGGCGGGGCCUGGCUGAAGCACUGAAAGAGAACACGGCACUCAGGAUAUUUUGGUUGGUGGAGAAUGAAAUGACUGAUGAUGCGGCUCCACACCUGGCUGACAUGAUUCAGGCAAACACUGGUCUGACCCACCUGUGGUUAAUCAGCAACCAGUUCACUGUGGAAGGGAUCAGGCAGCUCGCUGAGGCCCUCACUCACAACAAAGGACUCAAAGAGAUAUGGGACACCGGCGGACUGGGAUUGGGGACCCCUGACCUAAAGUGUCGGGCCAGUACGUGCCGCCAGAAGUAACGCUGGUGGUGGAGGAUGUGUUGAUCUCUUCGAUCUGGAGCUGAACUGGAUUCACACUGGACCCAGACUAGCAGGGAGAUGCCCUCUACAGCACUAGCGUGAAAGGAAACCGGCUCUCUGAAGAGGAAGAGCAGCAGUUUGUGUCAGAGAAGCGGCUGCGGUUCCACUGACUGGGCACCUCACAUGACGCAUGCACAGAGCUGUGUGAAGGAGGAAGUGUGUGCACUCGGUCCGUGUGCGCGAUGCUGGUGUCAGCAAACGGAUUUGGUGCAGUUUCACCCGAUGCUGUGGGGAUAAAGUCGCACCACCUCCAUAGUCUGUUUUUAUUUAUUUAUUAUUCUUAAUGGAAGAAAAAACAGAAUGUUUGUUUUUUAAAUCCCUGAACGACAUCACUGCGUUUCAUUUUGGGGACACUACCCUAAAAUUUCAACAAGUGUUUCACAGUUUUCCACAAAAAUUAGGAAGUGGGAACUUAAACAAGAAGUAUACACUAUGCUGACUUCCUCACAUGCACACCUUGUUUUCUGUGUGCAUUUCUGUGUACUGUAAAUGCUUUUUCUUAUUUAUUAUCUGACUGUUAUACAAGAUGCUGUUUUCCACAUACUUAAUGGUGGUUCAAAGGUCUGGAACUCUUUAGAGUUUCCUGUUUCUGUGUAGAUGUGACCUAAAAUGUUAAAAGUGUUACAACAAUAAAUAAAUACACUAUAUCUGUGA